Molecule: ribosomal RNA, 492 nt
Filed under: uncultured bacterium
Lineage: Bacteria
Description: partial 16S ribosomal RNA
Rfam family: Bacterial small subunit ribosomal RNA
Source: RNAcentral
AGUGAACGCUGGCGGUAGGCCUAACACAUGCAAGUCGAACGGCAGCACAGUAAGAGCUUGCUCUUACGGGUGGCGAGUGGCGGACGGGUGAGGAAUACAUCGGAAUCUACUUUUUCGUGGGGGAUAACGUAGGGAAACUUACGCUAAUACCGCAUACGACCUACGGGUGAAAGCAGGGGAUCUUCGGACCUUGCGCGAUUGAAUGAGCCGAUGUCGGAUUAGCUAGUUGGCGGGGUAAAGGCCCACCAAGGCGACGAUCCGUAGCUGGUCUGAGAGGAUGGUCAGCCACACUGGAACUGAGACACGGUCCAGACUCCUACGGGAGGCAGCAGUGGGGAAUAUUGGACAAUGGGCGCAAGCCUGAUCCAGCCAUACCGCGUGGGUGAAGAAGGCCUUCGGGUUGUAAAGCCCUUUUGUUGGGAAAGAAAAGCAGCAGGUUAAUACCCCGCUGUUCUGACGGUACCCAGAGAAUAAGCACCGGCUAACUUCGUG